Molecule: small nucleolar RNA, 90 nt
Filed under: Sinocyclocheilus rhinocerous
Lineage: Eukaryota; Metazoa; Chordata; Actinopteri; Cypriniformes; Cyprinidae
Description: Small nucleolar RNA SNORA63 (ENSSRHG00000005835.1)
Source: RNAcentral
UUGUCGUUCCCCCUGCACAAAUAAACCUGUUUCCUUCUAUCCCUGCGUGUUUGCAUCCCACAGCUCACAGGGACGCUUGGUCUCAGACAC